GCUAUGAAGCAUUGUCCAUCCCCUCCCUUCCUCCUUGGUACAAUGACAGCCAUAUGAUUGUAUAACCAGGUAAUCUUUGGAUCUAUACUCUACAGACAGACUGACAGCCUCUGCAUGGCUCUACUAUCCAGUAUAAUUACUGGGAAUAUAGUCGCUUAUACUUCCCCCAUAGGUAUGAGUUUGUGUUUUGGGGCAAUUAAGUGGGUAUGUGUAUUUAGCCCAUAUGCGCAGCGUGUAAUUAAACAUAAAAGUGCCAUUGAACAUGUUUGGCUGAGUGUUGGGAAAUUUCUCAAGCCCCAAAGGUUGAAGUGGAUUGGCUGUGUGUGGGUAUAUAUAGGGUCUAUCAGUCCAUCUCGCAGUCAAAGUAGAUGACUGUGUUUUACCUGAAGCAUUCAUUUUCAGCUGUUCUUGUCAAGACGAAAAGGGAGAAAAUGGGGCCACUGCUGCUUUUAGUCUGCAUGCUGGGAGCAACGCUCGCAGCUCCUGUCCCGGAAAGCGGAAGCAAUGAGCAGGUGGCAGCACAUGCUAAUGCUGCCCUGCAUUGGAUGGAGAUGUACCGGAGCUCCCUGCAGCUGAUGGGUGACGCACCUGCUGCAGACCUUCCCGCUCCUCCGGUCAGUGAUGACUCAGAGGAAGAGGAGGAAAAAGCCGCCGCAGCCCCCAAAGCAGCCGCCGCCGCCCCGCUGAACUCGGAGGAGGCUGGCGAGGACGGAGCCGAGGAGGAGGAAGCGGCAGAGGCGGCCGAAGAGGAACCCGCGGCCGAGGCAGAACCCGCGGCCGAGGCAGAACCCGCGGCCGAGGCAGAACCCGCGGCCGAGGCAGAACCUGCGGCCGAACCCGCGGCCGAAGGGGCUACUGAAGCUGUUGCCGAGCCUGCUGCCGAAGCUGCCGCUGUCGACCCGGCCGUAGUGGAGGCCCCUGCUGCGGAGGUAGUCCCAGCCGACGCCACUCCCGUGGUGGAGGCGGCCGCGGUGGAGGCUCCAGCGGUGGAGGCUCCCGCGGUGGAGGCUGCAGCGGUGGAGGUUCCCGCCGCGGAGGCUGCCGCGGUCGAGGCUCAAGUGGUCGAGGCUGCAGCGGUGGAGGCUGCCGUGGUAGCGGUGGAAGCGGUGCCAGAGCUGGUGGUACUAGCGGGUCCCGUGGAGGUCCAGGCUGGGACAGCGUAAUCGCCCCAGUUUGUCACCUCAAUUUCUCUCCUACUGACCUGAGUAUUAUGUCUCAGUAGGCCUAGGUCAUGUUAAUAUACUGACGGCGGCAGAUUUUUUGUCAUUUUGCCGGAUCAUUGGACAGAUCACAGGCCGCAUAUGGUCAGCCCAGACUGAUGUUAUUUUUCUUAUGUCAUUUACUUGAUGAUGUUUGUGAUGAUCUGUGAAAAUAAAUAUGUGGUGGUUGAAUUCAUCCACUCAUCAGGUUUAUUGUAUUACACUUAAAACGGAUCAAAUUGAUUAAAAGGUAACCAUUUACAAUAAGGGUACAAUAAUGAACUAUCAAUCUAAAUUAGUUAAUGCGAUUAUAAGCAUUAUCUAACAAUAACAAGAAGAUAAUUAACUUCUUAACGAAUAAUGGUGUAGUAGUCAUUACUUGUUAACUAAGUCAGUUUUUGAUUUAUACUUUUUCUAAUAGCACACAAAUUAAGAUAUUUGUUGUAUUAUAUUGAAUGAUUACUAGACCAUAAAUUAACUGUAAAUAAGCCCUUAGUUCACAUCACUCAUGGUUAACCUCUUUACCCUUAUUGUAAAGUGUUACCGAAUAACAGAUUACUACAGUUGAUCUUUUAGCAAUCCUUAAACAAUCAUAUUUCCAUAUCAAACCUAUAGUUAACCUAUCAUAAAAUAUAUACUAUAGCCUACAUUGCAUUUCCGUUAUUAGUCGUCGGCUCUGCUGUUUGGAUGCGAAUUGUCCAUCACCCACAGAACACUGCAGCCAAAGGAUCUUCCCAUGGGAUCGCAGAUUCAUCUAACAUGCAGUAGAUGUAGGCUACCAUUGUAACAAUCAAGCUCAGAUCUACAGAUGGGAUGGUUCGGACAGUCAUUUAUCACCACAUAUAAAUGCACAAGGGAUCGUGUGGCUCCAGUAGGACAGCAUUAGCAGCAGAACCGGUACACUCCCGGUGGAUUUGCUACAGCUUUAAUAGGAUAUAGAGGGGAUAGGCUAGAGUGCUGAGUAAGCACUUAACCAGCCAGGGAGGACUGAAGCGCUUAGAAUCCCUCCAAUAUAUAUUGGACAUAAUGCCCCCCCCCCCCCCCCCCCCCCUUAUGGGGAAUACAAACCACCUUACAUUAAGGAUCAGAGCUCUGUUUCAUAUUUCGUGUUUUGUUCUUUUUUUUUUUCUUUUACAUUCCUGGAUAACAAGUAAAUCCAGGAGAGUGCAAUUUUCUCCCUGAAGUAAAAAAAACAUAGCUAGUCACUUUUUUGCGGUUUCUUAUUGAUUGUGAAGUGUCUGAUAGUUGUCUGUAGUUGUGAUAUAUGAUGAUUACUCGUGUUCUCUGUAAAAAAUGUGUGAAAGAAAGGAGUGUGGAUGAAUGGUGGCCUCAUCCACUUUCAUCCUUCUCUAAUCCCCCUCGAUCCUCCUCAGGGUCACUCACAACUUAGUCUCCUUCCUGGGACUCUACGCUGCGUUUAAUUGUGCGGCUGCUCACCAAUACAUUCAUAUUAUGAUCAAUUCAACCUUCUGUGCUCCAAAGAUCAAACAAAACAUGGACUCAUCGCUCUAGAUUAGCUUGGUGGGAAAGGUAAGUUGGACAUAUAUAUAUUAUUUUUAAGUGUUAUAGCCUACUAUACACAGUCGGAUGCAGCUUAUGGGGAUUUAAUAUGCAGAUUGCAGAUGCAGAGAACAUGAAUUAUGAACACAGUAAAACAGAUGGAGCAUGGAAGAUGUAAUACAUAAUCAAGGGUGAUGUAGGGCUU
RNAcentral lists this long non-coding RNA (2904 nucleotides) under Gadus morhua (Atlantic cod). Its description in RNAcentral is "lncRNA (ENSGMOG00000025944.1)". The record is from RNAcentral. Lineage: Eukaryota; Metazoa; Chordata; Actinopteri; Gadiformes; Gadidae.